GGCAGUGGCUCAACGGUAGAGCCCUUGCCUAGCAUGUGGGAGGUACUGGGUUUGAUACUCAGCACCA
This 67-nucleotide transfer RNA is filed under the name Marmota monax (woodchuck). Its description in RNAcentral is "tRNA.Ala". The record is from RNAcentral. Lineage: Eukaryota; Metazoa; Chordata; Mammalia; Rodentia; Sciuridae.